AGCAGGGACCAAGAUGUGCUUCAUUAACUGUGAACUUCUUACCUCAGAGCAGCGGUCUUUCCAUUUUUGUCUUUCAAGAGUGGCAGAGGAGCUGGAACGGGAAGAGACUGAGGAAUCUUCAGAGGAUGUUGCCCACCUUCCACCAACACAGAUACACAUAGCUAUCUCUACUGCAGGCCCCAACAAGAAGCACGCAAAAUUAACAAGUGGAUUGGCCUGGUGAAAAAUGCUUCGCUCAUUCCUGCACCAAUACCCAGCACCCUGUACUUGGUAACAAUCCAAACAAAAUGAAAUCUAUGUACCUAGACAUAAUCAUCUUUAGAGACCAUUACUAGAUUAAGCCUGGGAUAAAAACUAGCAUGCAUUUACCAAAAUUCAAGGGAGCCAAU
Carcharodon carcharias (great white shark) is the source of this 389-nucleotide long non-coding RNA. RefSeq lists it as uncharacterized. NCBI's taxonomy places the organism in Eukaryota, Metazoa, Chordata, Chondrichthyes, Lamniformes, Lamnidae. The record is from RefSeq and is a predicted model, not a curated record. The transcript has 3 exons.